AAACUGAAGAGUUUGAUCCUGGCUCAGAUUGAACGCUGGCGGCAUGCCUUACACAUGCAAGUCGAACGGCAGCACGGACUUCGGUCUGGUGGCGAGUGGCGAACGGGUGAGUAAUGUAUCGGAACGUACCUUUCAGUGGGGGAUAACGUAGCGAAAGUUACGCUAAUACCGCAUAUUCUGUGAGCAGGAAAGCAGGGGAUCGCAAGACCUUGCGCUGAUUGAGCGGCCGAUAUCAGAUUAGCUAGUUGGUG
Molecule: ribosomal RNA, 251 nt
Filed under: Rubrivivax sp.
Lineage: Bacteria; Pseudomonadati; Pseudomonadota; Betaproteobacteria; Burkholderiales; Sphaerotilaceae
Description: partial 16S ribosomal RNA
Rfam family: Bacterial small subunit ribosomal RNA
Source: RNAcentral